RNAcentral lists this long non-coding RNA (1186 nucleotides) under Triticum aestivum (bread wheat). Its description in RNAcentral is "long non-coding RNA (TAES_LNC017464)". Lineage: Eukaryota; Viridiplantae; Streptophyta; Magnoliopsida; Poales; Poaceae. The record is from RNAcentral.
GUCAUUGACGAAGAGGAACCAGUGGAAGCACUGGAUGAAAAUGGAGAGCCUGAUGAAGAGGUAUUGCAUUUGCAGUAUGCAUCUUGUUCUCGUUCAACUUAUAUACUGUUGUGCUUUUAGAAAACUUAUUAUAUGUCUUGAUCACCACGGCAUUGUUCUAUUGAUUAUUAUUAUUGCAGUGCUAUUUUAUUAAUUUCUGAAAUAAGAAAACAAUUUUCCUAUUAGGUAAUGGAAACGGAGGAGAACGUGGAUGAAGCUGUCCAAGUUGAUACCGAUCAACCAGAAGAAACCGUUCUUGUAAAUGGGAAUGAGGGUGAGGAACAGUGGGGUACGAACAAUGAAGGAACUUCGCCAGCCUAAAAGAAUUGUUUGGCAAAUGUAAAAAUCCAAAUUUUGUCUAUGGUGAUUCACUGGCUUUGCCUGCAAAUUCUAGGAUAGCCGAAUCCUUCAAGAGCUGCUUACUUUUGAAAACAAAUCCAGUUACCACAAUAUACACCAUUGCUAUUUAUUAGGAGGUUUCAUACAUAUAUACUCCAACCUGAUCAUUUUUUUUCUUCUUAUUUGCUUCACACGAUUUCUUAUCUGUUCCCAUACAUUUACCUGAAUUUAAUCUCAUGUUUCCUUGCAGUGCUAACCCAACAUGAUGAGUAGGCGCCAAGGGAACCACAGCUCAAUGGUUAAACCUGUUGUUUUUCCGAGGGUAAACAAUUGCAAUGCCAACUUUAUAAUGGAACUUCGGAAUGGGUUGAUGCUUAUAGUAACCAAUGAGCCACCUAUUGCUUCUUGGCCAAAUCCCGCAAAUGAAGUCCAAACUCCAGUGGAAGGAUGAUACUCUAAUGGGAUCAAUCUUGGCAGGCUUGUUUGCAGCAACAUAGGCAAUUCUUUGGUCGUGUACGGCACAUUUUCGUACCCAAUUUUUCAUGUACUAAAUCGAUGGGUUGGGUGCAGAGUUGGUUGUUGAUGGAGAGCUUUUCAAUAAAUCGUUAUACAGAUGUGUAGUAUAUGUGAUAUUACAAUAGCCAUAACAACCUUGUAGGAGAUGAAAAUUUUCUAUAGCCAAUCACUGUAAUUGUGUGUUACCAUUCCAUACAUGUAGCGUUAAUGAUUGUGGCGCAAAAGGCUUGCCAGUGUAUUCUUCCAUAAGGCUUUGCUUGUUUGUGAAUGCAGUAUCUUGUUUUAAUUGCGU